CACACCGCCCGUCACGCCAUGGGAGUUGGUGCUACUUGAAAAGGCAAAGCUAACCGCAAGGAGGCAUGUCUUAAUGGUAGUACCGAUGACUGGGGUG
This 97-nucleotide ribosomal RNA is filed under the name uncultured bacterium. Its description in RNAcentral is "partial 16S ribosomal RNA". It matches the Rfam family "Bacterial small subunit ribosomal RNA", at positions 1386 to 1482 of the family's 1533-position model. The record is from RNAcentral.